UAGGGAAUCUUCCGCAAUGGACGAAAGUCUGACGGAGCAACGCCGCGUGAGUGAUGAAGGUUUUCGGAUCGUAAAACUCUGUUGUUAGGGAAGAACAAGUACAAGAGUAACUGCUUGUACCUUGACGGUACCUAACCAGAAAGCCACGGCUAACUACGUGCCAGCAGCCGCGGUAAUACGUAGGUGGCAAGCGUUGUCCGGAAUUAUUGGGCGUAAAGCGCGCGCAGGCGGUCCUUUAAGUCUGAUGUGAAAGCCCACGGCUCAACCGUGGUGGGUCAUUGGAAACUGGGGGACUUGAGUGCAGAAGAGAAGAGUGGGAUUCCACGUGUAGCGGUGAAAUGCGUAGAGAUGUGGAGGAACACCAGUGGCGAAGGCGACUCUUUGGUCUGUAACUGACGCUGAGGCGCGAAAGCGUGGGGAGCAAACAGGAUUAGAUACCCUGGUAGUCCACGCCGUAAACGAUGAGUGCUAAGUGUUAGAGGGUUUCCGCCCUUUAGUGCUGCAGCAAACGCAUUAAGCACUCCGCCUGGGGAGUACGGCCGCAAGGCUG
RNAcentral lists this ribosomal RNA (550 nucleotides) under uncultured bacterium. Its description in RNAcentral is "bacterial SSU rRNA". It matches the Rfam family "Bacterial small subunit ribosomal RNA", at positions 355 to 896 of the family's 1533-position model. The record is from RNAcentral.